RNAcentral lists this ribosomal RNA (511 nucleotides) under uncultured Candida. Its description in RNAcentral is "eukaryotic LSU rRNA". It matches the Rfam family "Eukaryotic large subunit ribosomal RNA", at positions 62 to 577 of the family's 3401-position model. Lineage: Eukaryota; Fungi; Ascomycota; Saccharomycetes; Saccharomycetales. The record is from RNAcentral.
AAACCAACAGGGAUUGCCUUAGUAACGGCGAGUGAAGCGGCAAAAGCUCAAAUUUGAAAUCUGGUACCUUCGGUGCCCGAGUUGUAAUUUGAAGAAAGCUAUCUUGGAUUUGGCCUUUGUCUAUGUUCCUUGGAACAGGACGUCACAGAGGGUGAGAAUCCCGUGCGAUGAGGUGUCCAUUUCUAUGUAAGAUGUUUUCGAAGAGUCGAGUUGUUUGGGAAUGCAGCUCUAAGUGGGUGGUAAAUUCCAUCUAAAGCUAAAUAUUGGCGAGAGACCGAUAGCGAACAAGUACAGUGAUGGAAAGAUGAAAAGAACUUUGAAAAGAGAGUGAAAAAGUACGUGAAAUUGUUGAAAGGGAAGGGUAUUAGAUCAGACUUGGUAUUUAGUUAUCAUUACUCCUUGUGGGUGGUGCUCUAGCUUUUUACUGGGCCAGCAUCAGUUUUGGUGACAGGAUAAUAGCAAUUGAAUGUGGCUCCUCGGAGUGUUAUAGCUUUUGUUGAUACUGUCUACU